CAGCCUUGACGUUUUUUUGUCGCGCGCGAAGCCGUGAAGGCUUUUCAAAGGGGAGGGGAGGAGAAAUGGUCUUUGCCUCGUGAGCUGAGUUUGUGAAGAGAGGCAAGCAUGCGCAUGCGUUGCGGGACCCUGUGAAGCGGUUGGGCGGGUCUGGAGAUUGCGGCGGCAGCGGCGACUUAGGAUCGACUUUGGGGCGGCUCCCAGGUGCGGCACCUCCUGCUGUGCGGUUCCUCUUGAACUGGUUUGUGCGACUCUACAGAAACAUGUCUAAGCAACAACAGCCUGCUGAAAAGUUUGCAAAUCCAGAAACUCCUGGUUAUGUUGGAUUUGCAAACCUUCCAAACCAGGUUCAUCGGAAGUCUGUGAAAAAAGGCUUCGAAUUUACCCUUAUGGUAGUUGGUGAAUCUGGAUUGGGAAAAUCUACUCUAAUAAACAGCUUGUUCUUAACAGAUCUCUACCCAGAAAGGAUAAUCCCAGGAGCAGCUGAAAAAAUAGAAAGAACUGUACAGAUUGAGGCCUCAACAGUUGAAAUUGAGGAAAGAGGUGUAAAGCUCCGUCUGACUGUGGUAGAUACACCAGGAUAUGGUGAUGCUAUUAAUUGUCGGGAUUGUUUCAGGACCAUUAUUUCCUAUAUUGAUGAGCAGUUUGAACGUUAUCUUCAUGAUGAGAGUGGCUUGAAUAGACGGCAUAUUGUGGAUAACCGAGUUCAUUGCUGCUUCUAUUUCAUCUCACCAUUUGGUCAUGGUCUCAAGCCUUUGGAUGUUGAGUUCAUGAAAGCUAUACACAACAAAGUGAAUAUUGUGCCUGUGAUUGCAAAAGCUGAUACCCUUACGCUGAAAGAGCGGGAAAGACUGAAGAAAAGGAUUUUGGAUGAAAUUGAAGAACAUAGUAUCAAGAUUUAUCACUUGCCCGAUGCGGAAUCAGAUGAAGAUGAAGAUUUUAAAGAACAGACCAGACUUUUGAAAACCAGCAUUCCAUUUUGUGUUGUGGGAUCCAAUCAAUUAAUUGAAGCUAAGGGUAAAAAAGUUAGAGGUCGUCUUUAUCCCUGGGGUGUUGUUGAAGUGGAAAAUCCAGAACAUAAUGACUUCUUAAAACUAAGAACCAUGCUGAUCACUCAUAUGCAGGAUCUUCAAGAAGUGACUCAAGAUCUUCACUAUGAAAACUUCCGUUCUGAAAGACUUAAAAGGGUGGCAGAAAAGUUGAAGAUGAAGAAGUUAAUAAAGAUCAAAUCUUGCUUGAAAAGGAAGCAGAACUUCGCCGCAUGCAGGAAAUGAUUGCAAGGAUGCAGGCACAGAUGCAGAUGCAAAGGCAGGGAGGUGAAGGAGAUAGCAGUGCAACUCAUGGGUACAAAGUUUGAAUUAUUUGAUAACUUUCAUUAAUUGGAAUCAUUUAAGACUUAAGACACAGAGCUUAUUUUGUGGGAAGAGUUACUGCUUAUCCUGCUGUGACUUGGAAGGUCUGUUAACAUUCAGCAAACAAAUAUAUAGUUGUUGUAAUCUCUAUUUUGUAAACAAAUAAGGUUUCUUUAGUUUUUUUAAAUGUUAAAUGCAAUAUGAGUUCGUUAAGAUUUACUAAUAUUUUAUUGAGCUGAUUUUACUGUGCAGACUACACAAUGUUUAGAUUUUCCCUAGCCUGUUGUUCAUCUAAUACUAUGGACUAAUGCCACUGAGGGUUGGGUUUUUUGUUUUGUUUUUUUGCACUCAAUAUAUAAAUUGAUUAUAACCACAUUAUAUUUAUGGUUUAAAUUCUUAUUCUUUUUCCUGAUUUUCUUUUUACAGCUGACAUAAUUGUUUGAAAGUCCCUUUAACUUACCUACCCUAUAAAUAUUAUGUAUUGCCUUUUUCUUUGAAAUAUCAUUGUAAAGGUUUUCAUAGGAAAGAUUAAAGUAAGUCUUAAAGGAAUGUUCAUUUUUUUUGGAAUAGAGACCUUUGCGUUCAGACUGACCAACAAGAAAAUAAGUGAUGAUAUUUUCAACUUUUUUCAAUGUUACUCUUUUUAUAUACAGGUAGUCCUUGACCUAUAACCAUAAUUGAGCCUGGAAUCUUAGUUGUUGAGUGAAGCAGUUGUUAAAUGGCACAUCCCAUAACUGCUUCCCUCAAUGACUACCAUCCUGGCUCAUUCAUUUACAGUUGUUAAGUGACCUUGUGGAUCAUUCAGCAGAGUGAGGGGAUGUUGCACCAGGUAGGGAGCCUGGGAUCCACAGGGAUACAUAAACCUGCUGAUGUCUCAGAGGAUUCAGCGGGUUCCAAUCCAGCCACUCAGCCACCCAGGGAGCCUCAGGCUAGCUAUGGAAGCUACCACAUAUACAAAGCUGCUGCAGGUGGCUGGGUGAGUUGCUCCCCUCUGUCCCCUCCACUUGCAACUUCCCUGCUAGUUUCCCAGCAGAAAAGAUAGCAGAUGGCAUUCCCAUGAUCAUAGGGUGCUUGGAAACUGGUUGUAACUGCAAAUAGGCUGCCAAGACCUUGAAAUGUGGUCAUGUGAUGGGGGGCAGUGCUACACUUUAUAAUGUUUGGAAGCACUUUCCAAUGCUAUUGCAACUAUAAUCAAUUGUGAAAUAGCUAGUUGUAAGACCAGAACUACCUAUAUGAACUAACAUGUCAGUCUUUAUGCCUUGUCUAUUUGUGGACUGCUGUACUUUGCCAGUGCUAUACAGUAAAUUCAAGUAAAUUCCAUGUGUGUAGCAUUUUGUAUCAUGUGAGUUUAAAAGAAGUAAUAUAAUUUAGAAAAUAAAUCAGUUAUUUGUUCAGACUUUUUUAGGUUUAUUCUUUCAGAUUUUCAAGUUUUUAUUUUAUUUUUGAAGAAAGCAAGGUCAAAUUGUACCGAUGGCAUGUGUUUCUACAAAGGAUGAUCAUAACCUAUCCAUCAUGGAAGAAACUAGCUACUCCCUGAUGACCCAGUAUACCCAUGACGUACAUACAUACUGACAGACAUAAAUACUGUACUUGGAAAUACUGGAAAGAGAGUGACUUAAUCUAAUGUCCUUCAGGCUUGUAGCACUAAAAAAAUCAUUAUGGCAUUUUCAUCUUGAUUGUUGUUACACACAGAUUAUCAAAAACCUUAUGUGGUGCAUAUUUUAGUCUGAAUUUACUAUAUUCAAAAUAAAAUCCAAAUUAUAUUCUUUAAGUCUGCAAUGAAUGAUAUAUAAACAUAGCAAAAAUGUUCUGCCAUUUAUUAAUCCAGGAUUUUCAUUUUAAAAGGAGAUCAUAGAAAGAUUUCACUUUGAUCUUAUAAUUUAUUUGGAAAAUAUAAUACUAAUCUGAAAAGUUUUCACAAAUAGCAUUUUUUCCCUUAGAAAGACAAUAAUUGUUCAACACCUCUUCUGUUCAGAAGUAACACCUACAAUCAUUUGUGUCCUACAUAGGAUAUGUUACUGGGUUAAAUUAUGCUACUUGAUUUGAACACACUUUUUACCUAGAAUGUUUUAGAUCUGGGCUGAUUUCGGUAUUAUUUGUAUGAAGCUGUAAUUAUAAUUAAAUAGCAAGGAGAAAAAUUCCUGGUAUUUGAAAACCUGUGAAAAUGUGAAUGUGUGUGCCAAAUAACUAGUAUAAACCUAACCCUACUGUACAUUAGUUUCAUUAACUGACUUUAAAGAAUUGUUCAAUAUUUUUAAAUAUAUUCUAUUCAUCUUCAUGUAUUGUUUGCUGUAAUUAGACCUUCAUUCUAUACUAUAACUUAGUCUUAUUUGUGGUGCUACAUUUUAAGAAUUUUGGCUUUUAUGAUCACUUAUAAAAUCCAUACUGCUAAAACUCAAUUCCUGAACAGCUGUAAUUUACUAAUUUGAAUUGUACCUUUUUAAGUAAGGUUAAAUUUUUUAACAGUGUAUUUCCAUGAGGUUGAAUUAUGUUUCCAGUCUGUGCCUGAUAUAGGAAUAAUGAAGUAUCUGUACCUAUUUCCAUGAACUAAGCUACAUUUGAAUAUUCAGCCUAGAAUAAAAAAAAUAAAUUUCUCAAGUUUUUGGGAACAUGAAAAAAUGGUUAGCAUCACAAAUGGUCUUUGUCUUUCGAACUAAUAUAAUUACAAUUGUAUAUUGUUAUAUUCUUUAACACUUUUACUGGAUUUUUAUAACUCGGGUACUCAAAGGGCUACUUUUUGUAUAAGACAGUAUAACCUCUAAUUGAUUUUCUGUACCUUAAUUUUAGCCCAGAUUAUUAAUAAACCCAAUAAACUGUUAUGUACUAAUCUG
This is an RNA transcript of Thamnophis elegans (Western terrestrial garter snake), 4183 nucleotides long. It is a transcript of the gene named septin 2, with no coding region annotated. NCBI's taxonomy places the organism in Eukaryota, Metazoa, Chordata, Lepidosauria, Squamata, Natricidae. The record is from RefSeq and is a predicted model, not a curated record. The transcript is spliced from 13 exons.